This is a long non-coding RNA of Lemur catta (Ring-tailed lemur), 828 nucleotides long. RefSeq lists it as uncharacterized. The record is from RefSeq and is a predicted model, not a curated record. The transcript has 3 exons. Lineage: Eukaryota; Metazoa; Chordata; Mammalia; Primates; Lemuridae.
CUCUGCUGGUUUUUCAAGGGGAACUUUGACUAGCCCACAGGCAUCUUGAGGCCUUUUAGAAAGCGGAUAUACAGGAGAAGGGAGGUUGUGCAGCUUACUGUUCUCUCCCGUGUUCGUGGAAGGAUUGCAGGUUUAUUACUUUACAGUGGCUUUGAAAUGUGCUGUUUCUCUAACGAGCAUGUCUUUAUUGACUUCUGCACUUCACGGACUCCCCUGUGAAGUCUGGGGACGGGAUAAAUGGCCCCGUGCAAGCCACAGCCCAAGGUCCUGACGCUUCCCAAACAAGGCACACAGGUCCUGGGAGCUGGUAUAUUUUAAAAACUAAAAAAGAAAAGAAAAGAAAAAUCUGUGGGAGAUUUGAGCAGUGAGAGUGAAGCACCCAACACAUUUGUGCCGAGUUCGGGGGAGACACGGAUGCUGCUCACAUGUGCUGCCAUGGACCCGUGGGCUCACUGGUUUGGGCGUGACGUGGCAGCGGGGCCCACGUCUGUUCCAGCUCCCACUGGAUCUUCUCCUUCAGUUUCUGCAUCUCUUGGCACUUUCUUCAAUAAAGACUCCAGUUUCUCCUGCAGGUCAACCCCACGGUGGAAGCUGCAGGCUCGGACACAACAGACCACUGCGGGUCCCAGUUUGUUCCCGUGGGUUCCAGCCAGCCCUCGCUCUCCUCCACUUGUGUCCAGCUGCCUGCCCUGCUGGCCUCAGACCCAGCACGGGCUGCAGAAGCCACAGCUGUGGCUUAGUAUACAGCAGUUGCUCCUGAAUUGACUUGAAAAUGCUGCCUCCCUCUGUAUCAUAAGAGGACAAAAAACUUUCAGAGGCUUCUACUAA